UGUCAUCCAGCUGUCGGGGGGCUG
Molecule: unclassified non-coding RNA, 24 nt
Filed under: Mus musculus (house mouse)
Lineage: Eukaryota; Metazoa; Chordata; Mammalia; Rodentia; Muridae
Description: oocyte_clustered_small_RNA3260
Source: RNAcentral